This is an RNA transcript of Arabidopsis lyrata subsp. lyrata, 925 nucleotides long. RefSeq lists it as uncharacterized. The record is from RefSeq and is a predicted model, not a curated record. Lineage: Eukaryota; Viridiplantae; Streptophyta; Magnoliopsida; Brassicales; Brassicaceae. The transcript has 2 exons.
AUGAAUAAAUUGCCGGCGGCGGCUCUUCCUUCUUUGUGGCUUAAUCAGAGACUUUUAAGUCGACGGCGAGCAGAGGUAGUUUUCUCAGAUGGAGGUUCGUUGGUGGAUCUACAAUGGGGAACUAUAACUCUCGACGACGGCAGCAGAUCUGGUGGAUUUCUUCGUCAGUCUCUUCGCGGAGGUACCUCUCCUCCGAUGAGCCUCUUUGGUGGCGGCGGCUCAGUGUUAAGAAGGGACAGAGGUAGGCGAAUCGUGGUUUUUCGAGCUUGGCUGUGAAGAUCCUAUCGAUCCCGGGCAGAUUUACAUGAUUCAAGGCUUUCUAGCUAUGCUGCCGCCAACGACUCCCGACAGAGAAUAAAUUAGAUGUAGGGGAGAUAAGAAAACCAUUUGGAUUGUAGAAGAAGAAGGAAAGCUCUCCAUUAAUGCCCCGGCUUCAAGAAAUUUUUGUCUCAGCCCGGUUAAUCCGGUUGAGUAUCAGUCGGAUUAGUAUGUCCGUUUUAGGCUUAGGACCGGAAUAGUGAAAGCCGAGGAGUCAAAACCCUUCUGAAGUUGCGCUUUUGGCGUAGAUGCUAUUAGGACACGCUCUACACUCGGAUCAUGAGGGACUAAUAGCUUGGAAUUGGUUUGGAUCUCAGGAGAGGAUUUGAUUUUCUUUGUGUUAGUAAUUGUUUUCGUGUCAUUGGGUGAAUUUAGGUGGUUUAAGAGAUGAUUUCACUUAGAGUCGUGGUGUAAUUCAUCUCGUUGUGGUUGGAAAAUACAAUGAUUUUCAGUUGGGUAGCGUUGGAUCCGUUAGUGUUUCAGGGUUUUAUUUGACUAAAUCAUUGUAUUUGAGUGAAGUUUGUCGAGGUCAAAUGAUUUGUAAUAUCGAUUUGGUGAAUGAAUAGUUGAUGUUGAGCAAAAAAAAAAAAAAAAAAAAAAAAAAAAA